UGUGUGUACAUGCUGAUUAGAAUCCAGUUCUCCACACACGUCAACACAUCACUAACAGGUAGAUGGGAUGUUCUGGACCAACACAUCACUAACAGGUAGAUGGGAUGUUCUGGACCAACACAUCACUAACAGGUAGAUGGGAUAUUCUGGACCAACACAUCACUAACAGGUAGAUGGGAUAUUCUGGACCAACACAUCACUAACAGGUAGAUGGGAUGUUCUGGACCAACACAUCACUAACAGGUAGAUGGGAUGUUCUGGACCAACACAUCACUAACAGGUAGAUGGGAUGUUCUGGACCAACACAUCACUAACAGGUAGAUGGGAUGUUCUGGACCAACACAUCACUAACAGGUAGAUGGGAUAUUCUGGACCAACACAUCACUAACAGGUAGAUGGGAUAUUCUGGACCAACACAUCACUAACAGGUAGAUGGGAUGUUCU
Molecule: long non-coding RNA, 444 nt
Organism: Oncorhynchus keta (chum salmon)
Lineage: Eukaryota; Metazoa; Chordata; Actinopteri; Salmoniformes; Salmonidae
Exons: 3
Source: RefSeq, a predicted model, not a curated record